RNAcentral lists this ribosomal RNA (618 nucleotides) under uncultured bacterium. RNAcentral's name for it is "bacterial SSU rRNA". It matches the Rfam family "Bacterial small subunit ribosomal RNA", at positions 338 to 951 of the family's 1533-position model. The record is from RNAcentral.
CCUACGGGAGGCAGCAGUGGGGAAUAUUGCGCAAUGGGGAAACCCUGACGCAGCAACGCCGCGUGAGUGAGGAAGGACUUCGGUCUGUAAAGCUCUGUUAAUGUGGAAAAAUGGUAGUUGGUCUAAUAGGCCGAUUAUUUGAUGGUACACAUAGAGGAAGCACCGGCUAACUUCGUGCCAGCAGCCGCGGUAAUACGAAGGGUGCAAGCGUUGUUCGGAUUUAUUGGGCGUAAAGCGCGCGUAGGCGGACCUGUAAGUCAGAUGUGAAAUCUCGGGGCUCAACCUCGAAACUGCGUCUGAAACUGCAGGUCUAGAAUCUCGGAGGGGGAAGGGGAAUUUCGCAUGUAGGGGUAAAAUCCGUAGAUAUGCGAAGGAACACCAGAGGCGAAGGCGCCUUCCUGGACGAGUAUUGACGCUGAGGCGCGAAAGCGUGGGGAUCAAACAGGAUUAGAUACCCUGGUAGUCCACGCUGUAAACUAUGAACACUAGGUAUUGGAGGAUUUGACCCCUUCAGUGCCGUAGCUAACGCGUUAAGUGUUCCGCCUGGGAAGUACGGUCGCAAGCAAAACUCAAANAGAUAGAGCGUGAGAGUGCGACGGACGACGACGAGGGAGGAGG